AGCACAAGGAGCAAUCUGAGGUGGCGACCGGCGCACGGGUGAGUAACACGUAUGCAACCUGCCUGUAAGCGGGGAAUAACCCGUUGAAAGACGGACUAAUACCGCAUAAUACUAAAUUACUGCAUGGUAAUUUAUUUAAACAUUUAUGGCUUACAGAUGGGCAUGCGCAUGAUUAGCUAGUUGGAGAGGUAACGGCUCCCCAAGGCAACGAUCAUUAGGGGUUCUGAGAGGAAGGUCCCCCACACUGGUACUGAGACACGGACCAGACUCCUACGGGAGGCAGCAGUGAGGAAUAUUGGUCAAUGGACGAGAGUCUGAACCAGCCAAGUCGCGUGCAGGAAGAAUGUUCCCUAUGGAUUGUAAACUGCUUUUGCAGGGGAAUAAAGUGCAUCACGUGUGAUGUUUUGUAUGUACUCUGCGAAUAAGGAUCGGCUAACUCCGUGCCAGCAGCCGC
Molecule: ribosomal RNA, 454 nt
Filed under: uncultured bacterium
Lineage: Bacteria
Description: bacterial SSU rRNA
Rfam family: Bacterial small subunit ribosomal RNA
Source: RNAcentral